AUUGAACGCUGGCGGCAGGCCUAACACAUGCAAGUCGAGCGAGCGGCGGACGGGUGAGUAAUGUAUGGGGACUGCCCGAUAGAGGGGGAUAACUACUGGAAACGGUGGCUAAUACCGCAUACUGUCGGAUAACCCAUAUGGGAUUAGCUAGUAGGUAAGGGAAUGGCUUACCUAGGCGACGAUACGUAGCUGGUCUGAGAGGAUGAUCAGCCACACUGGGACUGAGACACGGCCCAGACUCCUACGGAGGCAGCAGUGGGGAAUAUUGCACAAUGGGCGAAAGCCUGACGGAGCAACGCCGCGUGUGUGAAGAAGGUCUUAGGGUUGUAAAGUACUGUCAGUAGGGAAGCGGUACCGACAGAAGAAGCAACGGCUAACUCCGUGCCAGCAGCCGCGGUAAUAC
This 403-nucleotide ribosomal RNA is filed under the name uncultured bacterium. RNAcentral describes it as "partial 16S ribosomal RNA". It matches the Rfam family "Bacterial small subunit ribosomal RNA", at positions 29 to 526 of the family's 1533-position model. The record is from RNAcentral.